ACUAUGUAGCUCAGUUGGUGAGAGCACUGCACCGGAAUCGCAGGCCGGGCCGCAGGUUUGAUUCCUGCCAGUG
This 73-nucleotide transfer RNA is filed under the name Paramuricea clavata. RNAcentral's name for it is "tRNA-Ser". It matches the Rfam family "tRNA", at positions 6 to 65 of the family's 71-position model. Rfam says of the family: Transfer RNA (tRNA) molecules are approximately 80 nucleotides in length. Their secondary structure includes four short double-helical elements and three loops (D, anti-codon, and T loops). Further hydrogen bonds mediate the characteristic L-shaped molecular structure. tRNAs have two regions of fundamental functional importance: the anti-codon, which is responsible for specific mRNA codon recognition, and the 3' end, to which the tRNAs corresponding amino acid is attached (by aminoacyl-tRNA synthetases). tRNAs cope with the degeneracy of the genetic code in two manners: having more than one tRNA (with a specific anti-codon) for a particular amino acid; and 'wobble' base-pairing, i.e. permitting non-standard base-pairing at the 3rd anti-codon position. The record is from RNAcentral. Lineage: Eukaryota; Metazoa; Cnidaria; Anthozoa; Malacalcyonacea; Plexauridae.